GCAUUCCUUUCACUUCUACCUCCCCAGCCAGGUCUACAGCAGAGCAUGUUGGAUUCCAGCCUCCCUUGUCUAGUUCUCUUAAGGUGAUUCUGACGCAAAGCACCACCUUUCCAUUUCGUAGGGUUCUGGUUUAUUUGGGAGGUUUGUUUGUUUAUUUGUUUUGCAUGUAGCAUGGCUUCCUGGCUAUCAGGCAAACAGGCAUAGACAAACCCUCCCUCAGUCCUGUUUGUCGUUCGGGUGUGAGGGGGAGGAUGAAAUGCCACCCAUUUUUCCACCGCCACCCUACUCCAGUUCAUAAAAUGUGCUUUGGAUGGGUUCCACUCUGUUGCACCAGACGUCCCUUGCUGCUUGCUUCCUCAGCCCCUCUGCACAACCUUGCCAUUGCUGUUGUAAAGAAGCUGUCUCUGCAGCAUAAUGAUGCUCAAGGCUGGGUGACUGUUGCAUCUCAUUCCAGCGAGGUACAGGGACAUGAUCCCAGAUGACACCAUCUGCCAGGCAUGAUCCUCGGUUUCCUCCCCUUCUAGGUACUCCCUCAAUGCAGAGUUUCUACUCAGGGAGUAAAAUAGUGACGUCAGAUGGAAUAAUCCCUUCCGGGAACCAUCUGCCAUCAUUUUGGGGCAGGAUAGAUGGCUUCAUCUUCAUCUAGAACUCAGCUGAAAGUUUUUCAAGAAGAAUUUUUGCUUUUGAAAUACAGGUGGGACAGGGGAAAGAAGAAGGAAUCCCCCAAAACUUGAGGCUAUUUUUUUUUUGGGGGGGGUGUUCCUCAAAAAAUGCUGAGUCUCUUCUCUUCGCUUCAGUAGCACAAAUUAGUUCCUUUUUGUUCCCUUCAUCUUUCUUAAACAUCCAUGUAUCUCAUGCAGAAUUGGAAUUCUUCAAAACGUCUGCUGUCUGGUCUGCCACCAGGAAAGAGCAGGCUGGCUACCAGGGACCAGGCCUUUUCCGUGGUAGCCCCAUACCUCAGGAAAAUCCUCCCUCAAAUACUAAAUCAACAUACUUUGCAUGUUUUUGUAUGGACCCCGGAGGCUGUAAUGUGUUUACAUUUCACUUUCCAUAUAAUGUUUAUAUGCUGGCUGCUUGCUUUUAGCUGUUCCCCGUUCUUUAACUUUAUGUACUUGUUUGUGGUGGUGUGUUUAACUAGUUGACUUUAAGGUGCCUUGAGGUCUUCUGAAAGAUUUAAAUAACAAUCAAUUACUAGCCCCUCUGUGUGUGUGUGUAUUAAAAAUGCGCAUGCCGAGAACAAUUAUAUACCACUUUCUGUCAAGGCACUCAAGGUAUUCUAAUAUUUAAAAUACUUGCAAGAAGAAAAAAGGAGAACUGUUUUUAAGGUUGGACAGUGACAUGGGGAGAAAUGCAGGUAUGCUAAAAUUCCAUGUCCCUCCCAGAAUCCCUGGAGAGCUACUGUCAGUCAAUGUAGACCAGGGAUUGGGAACCUGUGGCUUUGCAGAUACUGUGGGACUGUAACUCCCAUCAUAUCUGACCAUUGGCCAUGGUGACUGGAACUGAUGGAAGCUGACGUCCAACAGCAUCUGGAGGGCCAAUCUGGAAACAGAAGCUUUCAAAUAGAGGAGUGUUUUAUGCAAAAGUACGGCACAUGGCUAUCAUAGUCCUCAGUCAUGCUGCUGCUAUUAUAGUAGAAGCUUAUUAAUUGCAUUUCUGUAUCAAAAAUAGCCAGGGUGACAUACGCAAAAAUCAAAAGUGAAAUACAACCUUACCAAAACAGUUGAAAAAUUGUUUUCACCCAUGCUGUUGCCUUAUGCCAACAUCAUGCUCCACCCUCCUUUCCUACUCUCUCUCCAUGCCAUUGCCAGGCUUCCUGCUAGAAAAUUCUAAAAUCCUGCCUGCCACCACCCACAACCAAUUUAAAAAAUAAAAAAUGGGUAAAGCUCAGAGAACUAAAUAAGAUUUUCAGUUUUCAGGGGUGGUAACUUCCAUUUACUUCAUAGCUUCUUGCCCUUCCCCAGAAUUAAGUUAUGCAAAAGUCUCUGCUUGCUUUGCAUAACUGGGAUUUGUUUGGCACAAAAUUUGGGUUACUUUUCAUCACUUACUUUUUUUUUUUACAUUUUAAUUAAAAAAGAGCAAAGUAUGCACAACUCUGUAUCAUACAUAAAGUUGUAAGCUUCCCAGGGCAGGGAACUCUCUGUGACUCUGUUUAACUCUACCAUGCAGUGAACUUUAUGCAGUAGUAAUGAUGCUAAUAAUAAUUGACCGUUUCAGACAACGUGAGUCGCCGAGUGCGGUGUUCCUAAGGGCACAGCAAGAUAGCCAUUCUCCCCCAGUCUUCUGGCUGUGCAUUAGCUUGGAAACGUGGAAAUCCCAACAAAGUGCUGCCCUCCCUCUGGUUCUUAGUUCACCCCUAAUUUUUGGAUGCUUGUAGUCAGCCUGGGUUUAAGGUGCAUGCGUGUGGACUGUGGGAUGUGCAUUGACAGCCAUCCCAGUCCAAGUCUGUUGCAUUGGUACACUCUAAAUAUCACUGUGGGCAAAGAAAAGCCUGGAUCGUGUGUGUGUGUGUGUGUGUGUGUGUGUGUGUGUGUAAAGCAAAAGGAAAUGGAUUCUUUAUUGAGGCUUUGCUGGUGUGACAGAUGAAGACCAUGCAGCUGAAAUAGAAGUGGAACAAAGAGGAUACCCAGAGGCUGACUCUUGCCCCUGCCAAUACGAGAAGCUGCAGGUAAUAGAUAAGAGGGGACAGAAGGUGAGGCACUCUCUCAACCUCAGAAUAUUGAUAAGAUUGGCUUAGGUUGUGACUAUUAAGCCCUGUAGUUGUGUUUACUCUUUUCCUUUCCUGCCAUAAUGAGUUCGUGGGCACGAGUGGCCUGGGUGCCCCAAUCAUCUUCUUGCGCUAUGCUAAGGAAGUCUGUCUCCUGGAUCUUCGCUUGCAUGACAGGAAUCCUUCUCCCUCUCGCCCUUGCUUGCUGAUCCAUAAGAUAUCCCUUUUGAUCUUAGCACUGGGAGGUGCCGAAGCCUCUGUGUGAAGAAGGGUUUCAUUUCCCCCCCUGUUUUUAAUUGCUGACCUUCCGCUGCUCCAAGUUUUGAUGGUGGGGAAAGACAGAUGGAAGAUAAGGGUGGGGUGAAGAAGGGAGUGUGGAAGAGCAGAGGGAAAGGUCUCAUUUUUUUUUCAAAAAGCAGAGGAAAUUUGGGGUGGUCAGUAGAGCUCAUGUGGUUAGCUAUGUUCAAAAUUAGGGGCCUUCCAGCCAUCCUUUUCGUUGUACAUUCAUUAUUAUUUGUGCUCAUGAUGGUAUCAGGGAAGUUACAUGCUAUUCUUCCUUCAAUACUUUUUGUACCUGCAAAGGUUUGGGGGGCACACAACUGAUCAUUUCUGAUCGGUUCAUGUUCCAUAGCGUCCUUUUGAAAUCCUGUAACUUCGUACCACAAAUGUUACACAGGGCUUUUGUUGUUGUUGUUCUGCCUUUGAUGAAGUACAGUCCACAAGUGCCCCUCAGUAAUGCUGUAACAUUGGGUUGUUACAGGGUUGCCAUAUUUCAAAAAGUAAAAACCAGGACACCCCAAAGUUGUGCUUUUUUUUUUUUUUUACACAAAAACGCCAAAAAAUGUGAUUUUUGGAUUGACUUGCCUGAGAUCCAGGCAAAGCAGCACAUUUCAUAAUUUCCCCCGGAUGUCUUUUCUGCCUUUGAAAUCCCAGUGGUCCAGUAUUAAUCCACCAGCAGUGCACUAUUUUUGUGUCAAUGAGUUGUUGCAGAAUGCAGCUCCAAAACAAACCAACAAACACAAAAACCAGUCUGGAGGAGCCCUUAAUUUCCUGCCUUAACCAGGCACACAAGACAUUUUUUCUGAAGCAGCACACCCACCAUCUGAGAUUAUGAAGCUAUUUUAUACUGAGUCAAUUCACCUAGCCCCAGCAUUUACUAUUAUUCCAGUUCGCUCCUGCUAUCCGGAGAUUGACAUAGGUGCCUUCUGCCUGCCAGCUGUGUCCUUUGCUAUUGAACUGCAAUCCCUCUCAAUUCCUCUCCUGCAACAUAAGAAUGGCCUGCUGAAUCAGGCCAGCAGCCCAUCUAACCCAGCAUCUUGUUCUCACAGCGGCCAACUAGAUGCCUAUGGGAAGCCCCAAAGCAGAACCUGAGUGCAAGCAACAGCACUCUAUCCACUUGUGAUCCCUGGCAACUGGUGUUCAGAGAUCCAUGCCUGUGCUUAGAUCUCAUCUCUAGGCUCUUCUGAGAUUUGUGAGUCCUGAUUUUCAGUCUCUCUGUGUUGAGCAAAUGUGUUCAGCCAAACUGAGUUCUGGCUUUGUUGCUAGCUGCUGGGGAAAAGAUUGGGUGCUGAACUGUUACUUUGUUUUGC
Non-coding RNA from Podarcis lilfordi (Lilford's wall lizard), 4293 nucleotides. NCBI's taxonomy places the organism in Eukaryota, Metazoa, Chordata, Lepidosauria, Squamata, Lacertidae. The record is from the annotation of a GenBank genome assembly.